Molecule: ribosomal RNA, 253 nt
Filed under: uncultured bacterium
Lineage: Bacteria
Description: partial 16S ribosomal RNA
Rfam family: Bacterial small subunit ribosomal RNA
Source: RNAcentral
CACGUAGGGCGCAAGCGUUGUCCGGAAUUACUGGGCGUAAAGGGCGCGUAGGUGGCCUUCUAAGUUGAACGUGAAAUCCCUGGGCUCAACCCAGGAACUGCGUCCAAGACUGGGAGGCUUGAAUCCGGGAGAGGGAUGCGGAAUUCCAGGUGUAGCGGUGAAAUGCGUAGAUAUCUGGAGGAACACCGGUGGCGAAGGCGGCAUCCUGGACCGGUAUUGACACUGAGGCGCGAAAGCCAGGGGAGCAAACGGG